This 672-nucleotide ribosomal RNA is filed under the name Steromphala umbilicaris. RNAcentral's name for it is "partial 16S ribosomal RNA". The stretch from base 1 to 574 matches the Rfam family "Bacterial large subunit ribosomal RNA", at positions 1931 to 2925 of the family's 2925-position model. Lineage: Eukaryota; Metazoa; Mollusca; Gastropoda; Trochida; Trochidae. The record is from RNAcentral.
CCCCGGGACCCUAACCGUGCAAGGUAGCAUAAUCAUUUGCCUUUUAAUUGGAGGCUGGUAUGAAUGGUUUGACGAGAGCUGUGCUGUCUCUUCUGAAAUAUUUAGAAAUUAACUUUUAGGUGAAGAGGCCUAAAUUUAUUUAAGGGACAAGAAGACCCUGUUGAGCUUUAGUGAUGUUGCAAAUGAUAUAGAGUAAGUGUUACUAAUUUGUUAUGUAUUUAUUAUAAUAAAAAUUUGCAAAUAAUCUUUAGUUGGGGCGACUGAGGAACAUAAAAAGCUUCCUUAAAACGAAAUUAUUUAAUUUAUUAAAUGUAUGUAAAUGCUUACAUGUUAUUUUGAUCCAAGUUAUUUUGAUUAAAGGAAAAAGUUACCACAGGGAUAACAGCGUAAUCUUUCUGGAGAGAUCUUAUCGAAAGAAGGGUUUGCGACCUCGAUGUUGGACUAAGAUAUCCUAAGGGUGCAGAAGCUCUUAAAGGUUGGUCUGUUCGACCAUUAAAAUCUUACAUGAUCUGAGUUCAGACCGGCGUGAGCCAGGUUGGUUUCUAUCUUUAAAUUGAGAAUAGUUCUUUGGCUAGUACGAAAGGACCGUUGUAAGACAAUUAAAUUGUGAACUUAGAAUUGAUUUAAGUUAAUUUUAAAUUUUAAAUGAUUGUAAAGCCUGAUUAAGAGGUA